UACGGGGGGGGCAAGCGUUGUUCGGAAUUACUGGGCGUAAAGGGCUCGUAGGUGGCCAACUAAGUCACACGUGAAAUCCCUCGGCUUAACCGGGGAACUGCGUGUGAUACUGGAUGGCUUGAGUUUGGGAGAGGGAUGCGGAAUUUCAGGUGUAGCGGUGAAAUGCGCAGAUAUCAGGAAGAACACCAAUGGCGAAGGCAGCUCUCUGGGACGGUACUGACGCUGAGACGCGAAAGCGUGGGGAGCGAACAGG
This 253-nucleotide ribosomal RNA is filed under the name uncultured bacterium. RNAcentral describes it as "partial 16S ribosomal RNA". It matches the Rfam family "Bacterial small subunit ribosomal RNA", at positions 524 to 776 of the family's 1533-position model. The record is from RNAcentral.